RNAcentral lists this ribosomal RNA (292 nucleotides) under uncultured bacterium. Its description in RNAcentral is "partial 16S ribosomal RNA". It matches the Rfam family "Bacterial small subunit ribosomal RNA", at positions 773 to 1060 of the family's 1533-position model. The record is from RNAcentral.
GUGGAUUAGAUACCCUAGUAGUCCUGGCAGUAAACGGUGCACGUUUGGUGUGGGAGGAUUCGACCCCUUCUGCGCCGGAGCUAACGCGUUAAACGUGCCGCCUGGGGAGUACGGUCGCAAGAUUAAAACUCAAAGAAAUUGACGGGGGCCCGCACAAGCGGUGGAGUAUGUGGCUUAAUUCGAUGCAACGCGAAGAACCUUACCUGGCCUUGACAUGCAUCUCUAAGCUGGUGAAAGCCAGUGACUCCCGAAAGGGAGAAUUUGCACAGGUGCUGCACGGUUGUCGACAACU